GACGAACGCUGGCGGCGUGCUUAACACAUGCAAGUCGAACGGAAAGGCCCGGCGCUUGUGGGGUGCUCGAGUGGCGAACGGGGGAGUAAAACGCGAGGAACCUGCCCUUGACUGUGGGAGAACUUCAGGAAACAGGGGCGAAUACCGGAGAGAAGCUACUGCUGCACGGGGGGGGUUGGAAAGUGUCGGCGGUGGGGGAUGGACUAGCGGGUUAUGAGCUGGUUGGUGGGGUAGUGGCUUCCCACGGCUUUGACGGGUAGGCGGCCUGGGAGCGUGACCGGCCACCAUGGUCCUGCGAUACGGCCCAGUAUCCUACGGGCCGCAGCAGUCGGGAAUCUUGCACAGUGGGCGGACGUCUGAUGCAGCAGCGCCGCGUGCGUGAUGCCGGCCUUCGGGUUGUAAACCACUUUCGACUGUGCCGAAGCCUGCGUGACGGUACUUGGUCAGGAAGCCCCGGCUAACUACGUG
Molecule: ribosomal RNA, 468 nt
Filed under: uncultured bacterium
Lineage: Bacteria
Description: partial 16S ribosomal RNA
Rfam family: Bacterial small subunit ribosomal RNA
Source: RNAcentral